CGUAGGAGGCGAGCGUUGUCCGGAUUCAUUGGGCGUAAAGAGCACGCAGGCGGUUCGGCAAGUCGGUUGUGAAAUCCCAGGGCUCAACCCUGGGACUGCGUCCGAUACUGCCGGACUAGAGGUAGGUAGGGAGAUCGGAAUUCCUGGUGUAGCGGUGAAAUGCGCAGAUAUCAGGAGGAACACCGGUGGCGAAGGCGGAUCUCUGGGCCUUACCUGACGCUCAGGUGCGAAAGCUAGGGGAGCGAACAGGAUUAGAUACCCUGGUAGUCCUAGCCGUAAACGUUGGGUGCUAGGUGUGGGCGGUCAUCAACCCCGUCCGUGCCGAAGCUAACGCAUUAAGCACCCCGCCUGGGGAGUACGGCCGCAAGGCUA
This 372-nucleotide ribosomal RNA is filed under the name uncultured organism. RNAcentral describes it as "bacterial SSU rRNA". It matches the Rfam family "Bacterial small subunit ribosomal RNA", at positions 526 to 896 of the family's 1533-position model. The record is from RNAcentral.